Long non-coding RNA from Anneissia japonica, 434 nucleotides. RefSeq lists it as uncharacterized. The transcript is spliced from 2 exons. NCBI's taxonomy places the organism in Eukaryota, Metazoa, Echinodermata, Crinoidea, Comatulida, Comatulidae. The record is from RefSeq and is a predicted model, not a curated record.
AGCAACAUCUGUAAGGAUUGAGGACCUAAUAUUUGCUACACCUUAUUUGAGAAAUCAUACUUUUAACAUCUUUUAUAUUGCAAUUUUAUCAACCCGGAGAAGUCUUACUUUUACCAUUUUUAUACUGCAUUUUAUCAACUGUUUAUGAUUUGACACCUUGGCUCUUUUAUAGACGAAAACUUAAUUUCGGAUAUUAUUAAUUUUGGAUUUAACAUAACUAUUGGAAAGGACCUGUAAUCUUACCAGCAAUUGGAAGUGUGGAACUCUUUUCGUACAUUGAACUUCUUUUUAAAACUCUUUUGGAAACACUUGGACAAGAAAGAACAAUUUCGCGAUCAAGAAUUUGCGCAACCUAGAUUCUAUUCAUAUUGUGAAAUCAAAUCUCACCAAUUCAUUUUUUAUUUUCGAAUAAAUACUUAAUAUAUAUAUUUUAA